GGGGAAUGUUGGACAAUGGACGCAAGUCUGAUCCAGCCAUGCCGCGUGCGGGAAGAAGGCCUUCGGGUUGUAAACCGCUUUUGUCAGGGAAGAAACGAGUUUCUCUAAUACAGAGACUUAAUGACGGUACCUGAAGAAUAAGCACCGGCUAACUACGUGCCAGUAGCCGCGGUAAUACGUAGGGUGCAAGCGUUAAUCGGAAUUACUGGGCGUAAAGCGUGCGCAGGCGGUUAUGCAAGACAGGGGUGAAAUCCCCGGGCUCAACCUGGGACCUGCAUUUGUGAAUGGAUAGCUAGAGUACGGUAGAGGGGGAUGGGAUUCCGCGUGUAGCAGUGAAAUGCGUAGAUAUGCGGAGGAACACCGAUGGCGAAGGCAAUCCCCUGGACCUGUACUGACGCUCAUGCACGAAAGCGUGGGGAGCAAACA
This 426-nucleotide ribosomal RNA is filed under the name uncultured bacterium. Its description in RNAcentral is "bacterial SSU rRNA". It matches the Rfam family "Bacterial small subunit ribosomal RNA", at positions 356 to 774 of the family's 1533-position model. The record is from RNAcentral.